Molecule: ribosomal RNA, 585 nt
Filed under: Bilobodera flexa
Lineage: Eukaryota; Metazoa; Nematoda; Chromadorea; Rhabditida; Heteroderidae
Description: bacterial SSU rRNA
Rfam family: Eukaryotic small subunit ribosomal RNA
Source: RNAcentral
AGGGCAAGUCUGGUGCCAGCAGCCGCGGUAAUUCCAGCUCUCAAAAUGCAUAGAACCAUUGCUGCGGUUAAAAAGCUCGUAGUUGGAUCUGUGAUAAGCGCCCGGUCUGCUCGCUGAGCACGUACUGGUGCGCUUGUCUUUCCGGACGGCAUCAUCGGCGUUGGCCUUCACCGGUCAGCGUCGGUAGCUGUCGAGUUUACUUUGAACAAAUCAGAGUGCUUAACACAGGCGUUUCGCUUGAAUGUUCGUGCAUGGAAUAAUAGAAGAGGAUCACGGUCCGAUUUUAUUGGUUUUGCUGACCGAGAUAAUGGUUAACAGAGACAAACGGGGCCAUUCGUAUUGCUGCGUGAGAGGUGAAAUUCUUGGACCGCAGCAAGACGAACUACAGCGAAAGCAUUUGGCAAGAAUGUCUUCAUUAAUCAAGAACGAAAGUCAGAGGUUCGAAGGCGAUCAGAUACCGCCCUAGUUCUGACCGUAAACGAUGCCAACUAGCGAUCCGCCGGCGGUCAUGCAUUGCCCUGGUGGGGAGCUUCCCGGAAACGAAAGUCUUCCGGUUCCGGGGGAAGUAUGGUUGCAAAGCUGAAA